GGGGGGAAAAGGGGGGGCUGCUAAGACAUGCAAGUCGAACGAGGUGUCCCAAUGAAAAUGAAGUACUUGUACGGAAGAGGAUUUGGAUUCACACCUAGUGGCGAACGGGUGAGUAACGGGUAGGCAACCUGCCCUCAAGACGGGGAUACCAGUUGGAAACGACUGUUAAUACCGGAUAGUAUACAAUAUCGCAUGGUAAUGUAUUUAAAGGAGCUUCGGCUUCACUUGAGGAUGGGCCUGCUUUGUAUUAGAUAGUUGGUGAGGUAAUGGCUCACCAAGUCAACGAUGCAUAGCCGAACUGAGAGGUUGAACGGCCACACUGGAACUGAGACACGGUCCAGACUCCUACGGGAGGCAGCAGUUAGGGAUAUUGGGCAAUGGAGGAAACUCUGACCCAGCAAUGCCGCGUGAGUGAAGAAGUAUUUCGGUAUGUAAAACUCUGUUGUAUGGGAGGAAAGAACUAGUAGGAAAUGGCUAGGAGAUGACUGUACCAUACGAGAAAGUCACGGCUAACUACGUGCCAGCAGCCGCGGUAAUACGUAGGUGGCAAGCGUUAUCCGGAAUUAUUGGGCGUAAAGGGUGCGUAGGUGGCAUGUUAAGUCUGGUGUAAAAGGCAAUAGCUCAACUAUUGUAUGCAUUGGAAACUGGCAAGCUAGAGUGUGUGAGAGGUAAGUGGAAUUCCAAGUGUAGCGGUGGAAUGCGUAGAUAUUUGGAGGAACACCAGUGGCGAAGGCGGCUUACUGGCACACAACUGACACUGAGGCACGACAGCGUGGGGAGCAAAUAGGAUUAGAUACCCUAGUAGUCCACGCCGUAAACGAUGAGCGCUAAGUGUUGGCCAUUAGUUUGGUCAGUGCUGAAGCAAACGCAUUAAGCGCUCCGCCUGAGGAGUACGGUCGCAAGGCUGAAACUCAAAGGAAUUGACGGGUCCCCGCACAAGCGGUGGAACAUGUGGUUUAAUUCGAAGAUACCCCAAAAAACCUUACCUACCCUUGAAAU
Molecule: ribosomal RNA, 999 nt
Filed under: uncultured bacterium
Lineage: Bacteria
Description: bacterial SSU rRNA
Rfam family: Bacterial small subunit ribosomal RNA
Source: RNAcentral